RNAcentral lists this long non-coding RNA (813 nucleotides) under Ananas comosus (pineapple). RNAcentral describes it as "long non-coding RNA (ACOM_LNC021494)". Lineage: Eukaryota; Viridiplantae; Streptophyta; Magnoliopsida; Poales; Bromeliaceae. The record is from RNAcentral.
GCCAUCGUACAAUUUUACAUAAAUAUAUGACUAAAAUAUAUAAAAACUUUAUAUAUAUAUAUUUAUUUAUUUUAAAAUUUACUUUUAAAAUUUAAAAAAAUAUUUUUAGAAAUUUGGUAUUAAUGAAAAAGACGUAAGAAACAACAUAAUAAAAAAUUAUUUUUUAUAUAUUUUUAUUAUUUUUAAUUAUUUUUAGUAUAAAUUAUAAAAAAUAAUGGAAUAGCAAUGGUUGCUUAAUGAAUGUGGCUAAAUAUAUCACCUUAUAAAAUUCUGAAUAAGAUAAAAGAUUUUUUUUUAUUUUUUUUUGCAUUUGGCUCUCUCAAAAAAAUUAUUUUCAUAAAUAGUUCCACCAAAUUUAUAAUUAUAAUUUUGACUCUAUUUUCGUCGUACAGGUAUCAUGUAAACGCCAAACAAAUAAUAGUGGAAGAGCUGGAAUAAGUUGAACACUAUAAUUCAUUCACCAUAUCUAUUGUAUUUUAAAUUUAAGCGCGGAGGUAAUAUAAGUAUAGAAACACGAUAAAUGAUUCACCGUGUCUAUUAUAUUUCAAAGUAAAGCGUAGAAAAAUAUAAGUAUGGAACACGGUGAACCAUUCACCGUGUUUAAAAAUAGUGAAUUGUUUACCAUGUUCAACUUAUUUCUACACCCAUCGCUUCGCGCUGAUGUGGCUCCUGCGUUGUGAGGAUAGCGUCAAAAUUAUAAUUAUAAAUUUAUAAAUUUGGUAGAGAAAAAAAAAAAAAAAAAAAAAAAAAAAAAAACUCUAAGAUAGAAUAUAAUUUUUAUAAAAAAUAUUAUAAAUAUUUUUUCUAUAUUUU